This 768-nucleotide unclassified non-coding RNA is filed under the name Hevea brasiliensis (rubber tree). The record is from RNAcentral. Lineage: Eukaryota; Viridiplantae; Streptophyta; Magnoliopsida; Malpighiales; Euphorbiaceae.
UAAGUUCAAAUUCUUUUUUUACGAUAUUUUUUUUUCAAAGGUCAAUUCGGGGAAUGAGCUUUGAUUUAGCCACUCAUUCUAUAAUUUGAUUUGAGGGCAUUUAUCUACUGUCAGUUGGAUUUGUUGGGCACUAGAGAGUGGUCAUUUAGUUGUUAAGACUCAGAAAUUUCCCGUAGUUUGUAUGGGUUCAUCUGCAGAUCACUUCAAAUCUCCAUUACAGUAACGCCAAAAUGUGUAUACUGUCUUGUCAGAAGACAUUCUGUGGACGCAUUAGCUUUGCAACAGACAGUAGAGUUGUGCCCAAAACAACUAAAAGUUAGGUUUACACCCCGAAUCAAAUGGUGAUUCAAGUUUGACUCUCUAUGACAACGAGUACAUAACAUUUUUUUUGAAGAAUUGAGAUUUGAACUGAAACCAAAGAACAAAAAACUGAAAUAUAAAGAACCAAAUUGGAAUUGAAAAUUCAACUAUGUUUGGUUUGGUUUUAGUUCUUAGCAAGAAACAGAACCAAACUGGACCAGCACAUCGCUACUAUACACUGAUGAAACCAGAGGUUGUUGGAGAAAAUUUUCUGGUAUAUUUCUCAUUGAAUAAAGAUCUGCACAUGCCUUAUAUAUGUACACAUUAAUCUAGCUUGAGAAUAGGAAGCUAACUAAAAAAGGAAACAAAAAAUUAAUUACAUGAUUACAGGGAAUCAAUUAUAUAUAGAAACUAAAUUAAUUUCUAUAAUUAUGGGAUUCCAACUGUUGAAAUCAGAGGAUUGAAAAU